CCUACGGGAGGCAGCAGUAGGGAAUCUUCCACAAUGGACGAAAGUCUGAUGGAGCAACGCCGCGUGAGUGAAGAAGGGUUUCGGCUCGUAAAGCUCUGUUGGUAGUGAAGAAAGAUAGAGGUAGUAACUGGCCUUUAUUUGACGGUAAUUACUUAGAAAGUCACGGCUAACUACGUGCCAGCAGCCGCGGUAAUACGUAG
RNAcentral lists this ribosomal RNA (200 nucleotides) under uncultured bacterium. RNAcentral's name for it is "partial 16S ribosomal RNA". It matches the Rfam family "Bacterial small subunit ribosomal RNA", at positions 338 to 530 of the family's 1533-position model. The record is from RNAcentral.